CUGUAACUGUUCCAUGUCCCGCCUAGUCUUAAGAUGCAUCAAUAUAAGAUAAUCACAUGUAUAUUGUCAACCGGCUGUUGACAUUCAUAGAUUUUCUUGUUUAAUAUAAAUUGAGUUAAGAGCAUAAUUUUCAGAUUGUGUAAUCAAAGCAAUUCAUCUUGAUACUGUUGAUUAGAGAUAAAAUGACUAUGAUAAAUAGAUAAACCAUUGCUAAUGAGAACAAAAACUUCAUGUGUUGAUUUGAAAUAUUAUAUAAAUAAGUACUUGUAUGCAUCAAAUUAAUAAAUUAUGAUUAAUUCCCCUUCAAAGUUGGUUCUGAGUCAGGAAUCACACAUUAUCUAUCUAAUAAUUUUAUGUGCGGUAUUCGAUUAAUGAAUAUAUCAUGAUGCAUAAAGAUGGAUCCUCAAAGAAUAUGUAGGAUGCAUGUUAGUUUUCCUGACAUAAGGAGGAGAUUAUAAACAGCUAUGGAGUAUGUUAGGAAUUAUUAUUAGAUCCCCAUUCAAAAGAUAAUUCAAUUCAAAUACCGAAAGUAUCUCAUAUUAAACUGAAAGUGCUCCUAUUUUGUGUCCCUAAAGGACAAAGUAUGCAUGCGUGAAGCGUGGUAGAUCAAUCGAUUCUAAAUGCAAUAAUCCUUGAAAAGGAUAAGGAGCAAAUGAUCAUAAUAAGAAGGCAAUGUGCUCUUGAAGAACCUACGACAUAACACUUCAUGAAACCUUAUAGGAGGUUCAGGUACCUGAAAAUAAUGAAGUGAUGAAAUCUCAAAAUGUUAUGUCAUACUGUGAACUGAUAUGAAAUGAAAUAUCAUUAAUAUCUUUGAUACAAUAUUGGCGCAAUAUUGUAAAAGAUUAUGAGGACCUGAAUUCUAUGUUUAUUUAAGUAUGUUGACGUAAAGAUAUUUAUCAAGUGACAUGAAAGGAUGCAUCUUGAUAAGCAUAACACUUAUUUGAUUUGUAGCCCAGACACUUGAAGAUGUCACACAUGAAAUAUUGAAUAUUGUCACUUGACAAAAUUUAUAUGAAAACUUUUUUAAGGAUUCAAAAUGUUUGAAGCAUAUAAAAGUUUCUGGAAAACUUAUUUAUAAUCGUUAUAUUGUAUAAGCUUAUAACUUGUAAAUUAUUGGAACUCUUGGAGAAUUUUCAAAAGCAAUAGAUUAUUUGUUGGAAUGAGAAAUAUAUCGAAUUGGAUUGGUAAUAUAUCUUAGUGCAAUUGGUGUGCUAAUAUAUCUUGUAACUACUACAAGGUUCGAUAUAACCUUUCGAUCAAUUUGUUAGUAAGGUAUAGUUCUGCUCCUACUAUGAGACAUUAGAAUAAGAUUAAACAUAUGAGUUUAUUUAAUUUUAAAGACUGUAGUCCCGAUCAUGUUGGUUAUGUUGAUGCUGGGUACUCAUCCGAUCCAUAGGUACCCAUACAAUAAAUCUGAUCUAACCACCACUCUUUAGAACUUAUAGGAGGUACUUUUUUAUCACACAAGAUUUCGAAAAUGAGCUUUCAUUUCAUCCACCCUACCCGAAUCCAAGAGUGACAUCCUCAUUAAACUCACUAUUCUCCUGAAUCAUAGGUCCUAAAUACUUGAAAUUGUUUCUCUUAUUGAUAAAAUGAGUAUCAAGUUUAACAAUCACAUCGGACUCAUGAGAUACCUCACUGAACUUACGCUCCAAAUAUUCCGUCUUGGACCUACUCAACCUAAACCCUUUAGACUCAAGGGUCUGCCUCCAAACCUCCAAUUUAGCAUUAACUCCACUACGUGUCUCAUCAAUUAAUACCACAUCAUACGCAAAAAUCAAAUAGUAAUGCACCUCACUUUAAAUUUGUCGCAUCAAAACAUACAUCACUAAGGCAAAAAGAAACAGACUAAGCGUCGAUCCUUAGUGUAACCCUAUCAAGACGGAAAAGUGCUUAGUCCCCUCCUCCAAUCCUAACUCAAAUCUUGGCGCCGUCGUACAUAUCCUUAAUUGCCUUAAUAUACACCGUACACUUCUCUCCUCCAAACACUUCCAAAGAACCUCUCUCUGGGAACUCUAUCAUAGGUCUUCUCUAAGUCGAUAAACACCAUAUGCAAAUCCUUCUUCCUAACCCUAUACUGCUCUAUCAGUCUCCUAACGAGAUGAAUGGCUUCAGUAGUCGAGCACCCUAGCGUAAAUACAAACUAAUUUUCAGAAAUAGUAACAAUCCUUUGCAACCUCAACUCUACCACCCUCUCCCAACCCUUCAUAGUGUGGCUCAACAACUUUAUACCACUAUAAUUGUUGAAUAUCACCCUUAUUCUUAUACAAUAGAAUCAUCAUAAUUAAACCUUUUAAAUGGACCGGGUUAGCCCGUUCCAGCCAAUUUAGCUCGGCCUAACCGAUGGGCCUGCCCAAUCAGCCCACAGGCUGUAGGGCCGCCAGUCCUAGGCCUGGGCCUGGGCCGGCCAAGUGGAUAAAGACAAAUUGCUACGCUUAUUUUUAAGUUGUAUGAUGAAACAUAUUUCUCUAAUAAGAACUCAGAGACAGAAAACUGUAUUGUGGAAAUUUUUUUAGUAUGAGCUUGAUCAUUUGUCCCAUUUCUAAAGAUUACGGGUGGGUGUGCUCUAAUUUCAAAAAUUUUAGUUUUUAUGGUUAAACGCCCAUUAAUACUUAUAGCAUAAAAUAUUAUUGAUAUUCUUUUGAUUAUUGAAUAACUUUUUGGAAUUUGAUUGCUACCAUUAAUUUAUUAGAGAAAAAAUGGGUAAUAAUUCAUACAUACAUAUAACAUAAUAUAAAGCUCAAUUUAAUUUUUGAGACUUCAUACUUGUGUUUCUUUGACUCUCAAAUACUUUUAUAUGAUUUAGUAGGCAUUUGACUAAGAACUUUUUUUUAACAUUUUUUUCGAAAAUCAUUUCUUUUUGGUGAAAAUAGUAGUUUUUUAUCAUAAAAAUUAUUUUAAUUUACUGAAAAUUAUUUUUGAAAACUUUUUUCAUUCUUAUUUCUCGAGCAAAAUUUUAAAAACAACUCUAAUUUAUGUUUGUGACCAAACACAACAUCAAUUCUAACUUUAAUUCCAACUCCAACUUCAACUCUAAAAAUGAUUAUUUUCAUGGUCAAACGGGCAUUAAUCUUUUAAAAGUCUUCACAAAUAUAACAAGUUACUUUUUUAAUAAAAAUGACGCAACAAAAAUAAAUAACACAAAUGUUGAAUAAAAGUUUUAAAAUAAAGAACAAAUUAAAUUUUAAACGUAGAUUUGGGCCCGGGGUAAAUAGCACCCAUAGAUAGGUAAUAAAAGGAAGGGAUAUAUACCAAAACAGCUAACUUUAGACGCCAAAAAACAAAUUCUUCGUGGAAUCUCUUGUUUCAGCCCCUCCACAGUAAAAAAAACCUUUCUCCAGAAACCCAAAUUUCUUUGAAACCCUAGAAGCAACAGCUACUGGGGCCUACAUUUCCCUUCUGGAGUACAAUAACAUUGAAGGAAUGAUUCUUUUCUCUGAGCUCUCUCGUCGUCGUAUUCGGAGUAUUAGUAGUCUUAUCAAAGUUGGACGCGUCGAACCUGUUAUGGUUCUUAGGGUUUACAAGGAGAAAGGAUAUAUCGAUCUCAGUAAACGUAGGGCUUCUGAAGAAGAUAUUUCGGCUUGUGAGGAGAGGUAUAAUAAGAGUAUGCUUGUUCAUUCUAUCAUGCGUCGUGUUGCUGAAACCAUGGGAAUUGAUCUGGAGGUCAGCUAAUUUCUCAUACCCCAUUUUAUUUUUACUUUGGUGAUAAAGAGAGUUACUUUGAGUUUAACAUAUUAUUUGAAGCUUUUUGUAUAAUUUGUGAUAAAGGAUAGAAAAUGAAUGCAAUGUAUGAGAAGUUAUUGCAAUGUUUGUGAAUGGGAAAGGUGUCAUGUGUAUUUUGAAACUAAGGGAGCAAAGGAUUUGAUUGAAUUUGGAAUUUCAAUUGAACAUGAGGUCUACGGAUAGUAGAAAUUAUUGAAGUGCAAAGCAAAUGGGCUGACUUAGUUAUACAAAAGCAAAUGGGCUGACUUAGUUACUAUGAAAAUAUUGUGACGCAACCUACUGUUAUUCAAAUUCACGACUUGUUCAUAUCAGUUUUAAAGAGUUGAAUCACCGAUGAUCGUAACAAUCUUUUAAGGAAUCAACUAACCUCGAAACAAGUAGAGUAACUUUCAACUAACCAUGAAACAAAAUUAGUCAUAAGAAAUCUAACGCAUAACCACCUACUCAUCAAAAUAGUCUUAAAAAAUCCUAAGUUUCUACAAUACACAAUCCUACCAUUACGCUACUUGCACGAAGAAGAAGAAAUAAUGAGAAAAUUUAAAAGAGAAUGAUGUGUUUACCUUUUUUUGAGCAACGAAUAGGGAUUACGAGCCUGUCACGAUGGAUUUUCACCACCAAAAACUCGACUUGGACUUACCGGCAUUGAAUCGUUCUUGCAGAAACUUAGACGAUUUCAACGAAUUUAGGCGAAUUUCACCAUGAACCUCUUGGUUACGUGAGAUUAGAGGAGCGAUCCUCCAAAAUCCCCAUUUUAUCCCCAAAAAGCCCUCUUCACCUUUAU
RNAcentral lists this long non-coding RNA (4507 nucleotides) under Capsicum annuum. RNAcentral describes it as "long non-coding RNA (CANN_LNC005636)". The record is from RNAcentral. Lineage: Eukaryota; Viridiplantae; Streptophyta; Magnoliopsida; Solanales; Solanaceae.